GAUGAACGCUGGCGGCGUGUCUAAUACAUGCAAGUCGAGCGAACGGACGAGAAGCUUGCUUCUCUGAUGUUAGCGGCGGACGGGUGAGUAACACGUGGAUAACCUACCUAUAAGACUGGGAUAACUUCGGGAAACCGUAGCUAAUACCGGAUAAUAUUUUGAACCGCAUGGUUCAAAAGUGAAAGACGGUCUUGCUGUCACUUAUAGAUGGAUCCGCGCUGCAUUAGCUAGUUGGUAAGGUAACGGCUUACCAAGGCAACGAUGCAUAGCCGACCUGAGAGGGUGAUCGGCCACACUGGAACUGAGACACGGUCCAGACUCCUACGGGAGGCAGCAGUAGGGAAUCUUCCGCAAUGGGCGAAAGCCUGACGGAGCAAAGCCGCGUGAGUGAUGAAGGUCUUCGGAUCGUAAAACUCUGUUAUUAGGGAAGAACAUAUGUGUAAGUAACUGUGCACAUCUUGACGGUACCUAAUCAGAAAGCCACGGCUAACUACGUG
This 497-nucleotide ribosomal RNA is filed under the name uncultured bacterium. RNAcentral describes it as "partial 16S ribosomal RNA". It matches the Rfam family "Bacterial small subunit ribosomal RNA", at positions 28 to 507 of the family's 1533-position model. The record is from RNAcentral.